Molecule: ribosomal RNA, 254 nt
Filed under: uncultured bacterium
Lineage: Bacteria
Description: partial 16S ribosomal RNA
Rfam family: Bacterial small subunit ribosomal RNA
Source: RNAcentral
UACGUAGGUGGCAAGCGUUGUCCGGAAUUAUUGGGCGUAAAGCGCGCGCAGGCGGUCCUUUAAGUCUGAUGUGAAAAGCCCACGGCUCAACCGUGGAAGGUCAUUGGAAACUGGAGGACUUGAGUACAGAAGAGGAAAGCGGAAUUCCACGUGUAGCGGUGAAAUGCGUAGAGAUGUGGAGGAACACCAGUGGCGAAGGCGGCUUUCUGGUCUGUAACUGACGCUGAGGCGCGAAAGCGUGGGGAGCAAACAGG